Molecule: ribosomal RNA, 497 nt
Filed under: uncultured bacterium
Lineage: Bacteria
Description: partial 16S ribosomal RNA
Rfam family: Bacterial small subunit ribosomal RNA
Source: RNAcentral
GAUGAACGCUGGCGGCGUGCCUAAUACAUGCAAGUCGAGCGAACAGACGAGGAGCUUGCUCCUCUGACGUUAGCGGCGGACGGGUGAGUAACACGUGGAUAACCUACCUAUAAGACUGGGAUAACUUCGGGAAACCGGAGCUAAUACCGGAUAAUAUAUUGAACCGCAUGGUUCAAUAGUGAAAGACGGUUUUGCUGUCACUUAUAGAUGGAUCCGCGCCGCAUUAGCUAGUUGGUAAGGUAACGGCUUACCAAGGCAACGAUGCGUAGCCGACCUGAGGGGGUGAUCGGCCACACUGGAACUGAGACACGGUCCAGACUCCUGCGGGAGGCAGCAGUAGGGAAUCUUCCGCAAUGGGCGAAAGCCUGACGGAGCAACGCCGCGUGAGUGAUGAAGGUCUUCGGAUCGUAAAACUCUGUUAUUAGGGAAGAACAAAUGUGUAAGUAACUAUGCACGUCUUGACGGUACCUAAUCAGAAAGCCACGGCUAACUACGUG